Molecule: long non-coding RNA, 200 nt
Filed under: Elaeis guineensis (African oil palm)
Lineage: Eukaryota; Viridiplantae; Streptophyta; Magnoliopsida; Arecales; Arecaceae
Description: long non-coding RNA (EGUI_LNC069105)
Source: RNAcentral
CCUCUUCAUGUUCAAAGAGUUGGACGUCCAUCUGGCAAAGAUCCAAGGCGUGGUGACGCCUGGAACAGAAGGCUACAGGACAUCUUCGACAGGCUGCUGCUCCAACUUCAGAAGGAGUUCUGAAGUACUUUCAAAUUAGAUUAAGAUCUAAUUUUUGGAGCGUAGAUUCGUGAGGAGAAGAUGUUCCAGAUCCUGUCUAA